This is a long non-coding RNA of Populus nigra (black poplar), 994 nucleotides long. RefSeq lists it as uncharacterized. Lineage: Eukaryota; Viridiplantae; Streptophyta; Magnoliopsida; Malpighiales; Salicaceae. The record is from RefSeq and is a predicted model, not a curated record. The transcript has 2 exons.
AAGAAAUAAAAGAAGCGUGGGACUUUUCUUUUCUAGAGAGAGAGAGACGCUGCAACAUGUAAUGCCAUCACCACUUUCUAGAGAAGAGUCCAGGGGUGGUGAACCUUGGGAGACACAUAGCCAUACUUUUCCAAAAUCAGCAACUUGCAUGUCAGCAAAACCCCACUUGAAUAAGGGAAUUCACUGAACCCAACCCAUACUCUCUCUCUCCUCCCUCUCUGACAAAUAUGUUGCGUGAAUGUGAAUAAUAAUCAAAAUAUUGCUACUGUGCUGCUAAUAAUGAUACAAAUACAGUGCAAGAAGCCAAAUGCCAUCACGGAAUUCAUCCUCUUUCUUUUCACCUUCCCCAUACCUUCCUUCCUUUCCAUCCAUCCGUUUUUCUUAAAAGAGAAAGAGAUCCCUCUCCUUCUAUCUUAGCAACAAAAAAAACUUGCACCAUCAAGGAAAGAAAUAGAGAGGGAGAUGCUAAAAGUUUAUGUUUGUGCAUUCUAUCUUUCUUGUUGCCUUGUUAGGGAAUUCUCUCAUUACUCUUAUCACCUCCACCUCAACCUCCACCAUCAGAAACCAAAGCAUUUCUAUCAGCAUCACAGUUGGGUUAUUGGGGACGACGUUUCUUAAUUGGUACUAAAUUUCAAGGCACUUGAUCAAUUCUCCAGAAGCAGGAGGACAGACAAAUUGUUCAUAGUUCAUACACAUAGGCAAUCAUGGUUGAAAGAAUUUAAGUUAGAUUGUUGUUGUAGAUUGGUUGAAUCUGAUACACAUUAGUUUCUAGCAGUCAAAGCACUAUCUAUCCGCAUUGAGAUCCAAGAGGCAUUAGAGUUUUUGGGGUGCUGGAUUUGUGAAUUAUCUUCAAGGAUAAGAAGCUGCUAGCUGGUGGUGAAUCCCGCAAAUUUACAAGCUUGGCUGAGGUGUGGAUCAUUGAUAGUAUCGACGUUUAUUGUUGCUGCAUUAAGGCUGUUAACUGCAUUUAGUAAUUGGAAUCAAAGCUUAAUCA